Molecule: ribosomal RNA, 1084 nt
Filed under: uncultured bacterium
Lineage: Bacteria
Description: bacterial SSU rRNA
Rfam family: Bacterial small subunit ribosomal RNA
Source: RNAcentral
UCGAGGGGCAGCAUGAAGUUCGCUUGCAAACUUUGAUGGCGACCGGCGCACGGGUGAGUAACGCGUAUCCAACCUUCCCUAUAGUAGAGAAUAGCCCGGCGAAAGUCGGAUUAAUGCUCUAUGUUAUUCAAAGCGGACAUCUAAUUUGAAUCAAAGGUUCACCGCUAUAGGAUGGGGAUGCGUCUGAUUAGCUUGAUGGCGGGGUAACGGCCCACCAUGGCGACGAUCAGUAGGGGUUCUGAGAGGAAGGUCCCCCACAUUGGAACUGAGACACGGUCCAAACUCCUACGGGAGGCAGCAGUGAGGAAUAUUGGUCAAUGGGCGAGAGCCUGAACCAGCCAAGUAGCGUGCAGGAUGACGGCCCUAUGGGUUGUAAACUGCUUUUAUGCGGGGAUAAAGUCGGCUACGCGUAGCCGUUUGUAGGUACCGCAUGAAUAAGGACCGGCUAAUUCCGUGCCAGCAGCCGCGGUAAUACGGAAGGUCCGGGCGUUAUCCGGAUUUAUUGGGUUUAAAGGGAGCGCAGGCCGGAGGUCAAGCGUGACGUGAAAUGUAGGGGCUCAACCUUUGAAUUGCGUCGCGAACUGGUUUCCUUGAGCGAGUACGACGUCAGCGGAAUUCGUGGUGUAGCGGUGAAAUGCUUAGAUAUCACGAAGAACCCCGAUUGCGAAGGCAGCUGACGAGUCCUUUACUGACGCUAAAGCUCGAAGGUGCGGGUAUCGAACAGGAUUAGAUACCCUGGUAGUCCGCACGGUAAACGAUGGAUGCCCGCUGUUUGCGAUAUAUUGUAAGCGGCCAAGCGAAAGCGUUAAGCAUCCCACCUGGGGAGUACGCCGGCAACGGUGAAACUCAAAGGAAUUGACGGGGGCCCGCACAAGCGGAGGAACAUGUGGUUUAAUUCGAUGAUACGCGAGGAACCUUACCCGGGCUUGAACUGCAGGAGAACGAUCCAGAGAUGGUGAGGCCAUUCGGGGCUCCUGUGGAGGUGCUGCAUGGUUGUCGUCAGCUCGUGCCGUGAGGUGUCGGCUUAAGUGCCAUAACGAGCGCAACCCCUUUCGCCAGUUGCCAUCAGGUGAUGCUGGGCACU